This is a long non-coding RNA of Cyprinus carpio carpio, 1194 nucleotides long. Lineage: Eukaryota; Metazoa; Chordata; Actinopteri; Cypriniformes; Cyprinidae. The record is from Ensembl.
UGUGAUUCCAGGACGACUUCCUGUAAACACACUGAGAGAUUUGUGUGCUUUGAGGUUCAGCUUGAUUCAACAUCAUUUCCCACUGCUUUAGGACUUUGUUGCUGCUGGGAACGGAGCGGUAGGGGAGAGAGACAUAGAGAGAGAGACGGAGAGAGAGACAGACGGAGGAAAAAGGGCUUCCCACUAACAUGUACAUCAAAAGCCUUUUGGUUCUCUCUAUCGCUUUAUUUUUAUUUGGUGUCAGCACUUCACAGUGAGCGCGGUAUGGAAAUGCGUUUGGCUGCCUGGAAAGCUGUCAGGAAACACACACAACUCAGUUGCACGGAGGACAUUUCUGGAUUUCUGGAUUCCUUUGUGUUCAUGGAGUGAGGAGGGACACGAGCAGCAGGUGUGUAGGUGGGACGAGACAAACAUUUAUAACCUGAGCAUCUCUCCGAGGAACCCUUCCUCUCUUCUCGGGCUUCUCUUUCCUUCUGUCUGAAUCAUAAAGAUCUGGCCGGACGAUCAGACAGUCUCUUCAUGAGGUUAUAAAGUCUUGUUAUCCUGAGGCUGAACUGUCACCACUGUUGUUGUGGUGAUGGUGGUGGCAGCGGUGGCCGUUUUUUCUGCAGAUCUUAUUGGCUGCUCAUAGGGGCCCAUAAAGAUGAGUUCUGAAGACCCAUAAAGAUGCGUUUCAUCUCCAUAGCUGGCUUACGGGCUGAUAGACAGAUAAAUAAAGAGAGACAGAGAGAGAGAGAGAGAGAGAGAGAGAGAGAGAGAUCCCCAGGCCACCUUCACUUUAAUGUUGGUCUGAAGGGAGGGAGGCAGCCAUCAUAUCUCUGAUCAGAAAAGGAAAUGAUCAAGAAGGCAUUAGCUUAACCAUUUGUCCACAGAGAAUAAAUGUUCUACUAAACCAUUUUUAAAAAUCAAUUAUACAUUGAUUAUGCAAUAUCUGAUUCAUAAAAAUCCAUUAUAUUCAGGCUAAGUCAAGCAUCACUCAUACUUAGGAUUUAGGAGUUUGUUCAAAUGACUUAAUUUAGUGCAUAAUUCAUUAUGUAAUAUUUUAACAACCACUAACAACAGUCUAGCAUUGUGGAAGUAAGUUUUGCAUGAAGUUCAGACAAAACUGCUUUAAAUCUAAUUCUAGAUUGCAAUGAUAAACUAAUAGAAUGUAAUUUAAGAUAAUAUUACAAAUAAUAUGUAAAACAACAUAGA